CCCUUAGAGUUUGAUCCUGGCUCAAGACGAACGCUGGCGGCGCGCCUAACACAUGCAAGUCGAACGAGCGAGAGAGAGCUUGCUUUCUUGAGCGAGUGGCGAACGGGUGAGUAACGCGUGAGGAACCUGCCUCAAAGAGGGGGACAACAGUUGGAGACGACUGCUAAUACCGCAUAAGCCCACAGCUCGACAUCGAGCAGAGGGAAAAGGAGCAAUCCGCUUUGAGAUGGCCUCGCGUCCGAUUAGCUAGUUGGUGAGGUAACGGCCCACCAAGGCGACGAUCGGUAGCCGGACUGAGAGGUUGAACGGCCACAUUGGGACUGAGACACGGCCCAGACUCCUACGGGAGGCAGCAGUGGGGAAUAUUGCACAAUGGGGGAAACCCUGAUGCAGCGACGCCGCGUGGAGGAAGAAGGUCUUCGGAUUGUAAACUCCUGUUGUUGAGGAAGAUAAUGACGGUACUCAACAAGGAAGUGACGGCUAACUACGUGCCAGCAGCCGCGGUAAAACGUAGGUCACAAGCGUUGUCCGGAAUUACUGGGUGUAAAGGGAGCGCAGGCGGGAAGACAAGUUGGAAGUGAAAUCCAUGGGCUCAACCCAUGAACUGCUUUCAAAACUGUUUUUCUUGAGUAGUGCAGAGGUAGGCGGAAUUCCCGGUGUAGCGGUGGAAUGCGUAGAUAUCGGGAGGAACACCAGUGGCGAAGGCGGCCUACUGGGCACCAACUGACGCUGAGGCUCGAAAGUGUGGGUAGCAAACAGGAUUAGAUACCCUGGUAGUCCACACUGUAAACGAUGAUUACUAGGUGUUGGAGGAUUGACCCCUUCAGUGCCGCAGUUAACACAAUAAGUAAUCCACCUGGGGAGUACGACCGCAAGGUUGAAACUCAAAGGAAUUGACGGGGGCCCGCACAAGCAGUGGAGUAUGUGGUUUAAUUCGACGCAACGCGAAGAACCUUACCAAGUCUUGACAUCCUGCGACGGUGCUGGAAACAGUACUUUCCUUCGGGACGCAGAGACAGGUGGUGCAUGGUUGUCGUCAGCUCGUGUCGUGAGAUGUUGGGUUAAGUCCCGCAACGAGCGCAACCCUUAUGGUCAGUUACUACGCAAGAGGACUCUGGCCAGACUGCCGUUGACAAAACGGAGGAAGGUGGGGAUGACGUCAAAUCAUCAUGCCCUUUAUGACUUGGGCUACACACGUACUACAAUGGCGUUAAACAAAGAGAAGCAAGACCGCGAGGUGGAGCAAAACUCAGAAACAACGUCCCAGUUCGGACUGCAGGCUGCAACUCGCCUGCACGAAGUCGGAAUUGCUAGUAAUCGCAGAUCAGCAUGCUGCGGUGAAUACGUUCCCGGGCCUUGCACU
Molecule: ribosomal RNA, 1363 nt
Filed under: uncultured bacterium
Lineage: Bacteria
Description: bacterial SSU rRNA
Rfam family: Bacterial small subunit ribosomal RNA
Source: RNAcentral